This 505-nucleotide ribosomal RNA is filed under the name uncultured bacterium. RNAcentral's name for it is "partial 16S ribosomal RNA". It matches the Rfam family "Bacterial small subunit ribosomal RNA", at positions 28 to 507 of the family's 1533-position model. The record is from RNAcentral.
GACGAACGCUGGCGGCGUGCCUAAUACAUGCAAGUAGAACGCACAGUUUAUACCGUAGCUUGCUACACCAUAGACUGUGAGUUGCGAACGGGUGAGUAACGCGUAGGUAACCUGCCUGGUAGCGGGGGAUAACUAUUGGAAACGAUAGCUAAUACCGCAUAAUAUUGAUUAUUGCAUGAUAAUUAAUUGAAAGGUGCAAUUGCACCACUACCAGAUGGACCUGCGUUGUAUUAGCUAGUAGGUGAGGUAACGGCUCACCUAGGCGACGAUACAUAGCCGACCUGAGAGGGUGAUCGGCCACACUGGGACUGAGACACGGCCCAGACUCCUACGGGAGGCAGCAGUAGGGAAUCUUCGGCAAUGGCCGAAAGUCUGACCGAGCAACGCCGCGUGAGUGAAGAAGGUUUUCGGAUCGUAAAGCUCUGUUGUAAGAGAAGAACGGGUGUGAGAGUGGAAAGUUCACACUGUGACGGUAUCUUACCAGAAAGGGACGGCUAACUACGUG